RNAcentral lists this unclassified non-coding RNA (298 nucleotides) under fungal sp. RNAcentral describes it as "partial internal transcribed spacer region". The stretch from base 1 to 46 matches the Rfam family "Eukaryotic small subunit ribosomal RNA", at positions 1786 to 1831 of the family's 1831-position model. Lineage: Eukaryota; Fungi. The record is from RNAcentral.
AAGUCGUAACAAGGUCUCCGUAGGUGAACCUGCGGAGGGAUCAUUAACACGUUUAUACAAACGUUUUUCAACCAAAUAUAAGGAAACUGAAAAGUUGAGAAAGGAGAGAGUGGAAGCUUGACUGUCAUAAGCGCCAGUCGAGUGAAACUUUUGACUUUCCCCCUUUUUUUCAAUUAAUUAACCCUUUUCCAACCUUGAAUCGAAAUUGACCUGUACUUUCAAAUUUCAUUAGUUUGAAACUUGAUAGUUGAUAUCAUAAUAAAGAGCACAACUCUUAGCAACGGAUAUCUUGGUUCUC